This 253-nucleotide ribosomal RNA is filed under the name uncultured bacterium. RNAcentral's name for it is "partial 16S ribosomal RNA". It matches the Rfam family "Bacterial small subunit ribosomal RNA", at positions 524 to 776 of the family's 1533-position model. The record is from RNAcentral.
UACAGAGGUCUCAAGCGUUGUUCGGAUUCAUUGGGCGUAAAGGGUGCGUAGGUGGCGCCGUAAGUCAGGUGUGAAAUUUCGGAGCUUAACUCCGAAACUGCAUUUGAUACUGCGGUGCUUGAGGACUGGAGAGGAGACUGGAAUUCACGGUGUAGCGGUGAAAUGCGUAGAUAUCGUAAGGAAGACCAGUGGCGAAGGCGGGUCUCUGGACAGUUCCUGACGCUGAGGCACGAAGGCCAGGGGAGCAAACGGG